RNAcentral lists this ribosomal RNA (765 nucleotides) under uncultured Streptococcus sp. Its description in RNAcentral is "bacterial SSU rRNA". It matches the Rfam family "Bacterial small subunit ribosomal RNA", at positions 28 to 776 of the family's 1533-position model. The record is from RNAcentral. Lineage: Bacteria; Bacillati; Bacillota; Bacilli; Lactobacillales; Streptococcaceae.
GACGAACGCUGGCGGCGUGCCUAAUACAUGCAAGUAGAACGCUGAAGAGAGGAGCUUGCUCUUCUUGGAAGAGUUGCGAACGGGUGAGUAACGCGUAGGUAACCUGCCUUGUAGCGGGGGAUAACUAUUGGAAACGAUAGCUAAUACCGCAUAACAAUGGGUGACCCAUGUCAUUCAUUUGAAAGGGGCAACUGCUCCACUACAAGAUGGACCUGCGUUGUAUUAGCUAGUAGGUGAGGUAACGGCUCACCUAGGCGACGAUACAUAGCCGACCUGAGAGGGUGAUCGGCCACACUGGGACUGAGACACGGCCCAGACUCCUACGGGAGGCAGCAGUAGGGAAUCUUCGGCAAUGGGGGCAACCCUGACCGAGCAACGCCGCGUGAGUGAAGAAGGUUUUCGGAUCGUAAAGCUCUGUUGUAAGUCAAGAACGAGUGUGAGAGUGGAAAGUUCACACUGUGACGGUAGUUUACCAGAAAGGGACGGCUAACUACGUGCCAGCAGCCGCGGUAAUACGUAGGUCCCGAGCGUUGUCCGGAUUUAUUGGGCGUAAAGCGAGCGCAGGCGGUUUGAUAAGUCUGAAGUUAAAGGCUGUGGCUCAACCAUAGUUCGCUUUGGAAACUGUCAAACUUGAGUGCAGAAGGGGAGAGUGGAAUUCCAUGUGUAGCGGUGAAAUGCGUAGAUAUAUGGAGGAACACCGGUGGCGAAAGCGGCUCUCUGGUCUGUAACUGACGCUGAGGCUCGAAAGCGUGGGGAGCGAACAGG